UCGACGCGCAGCGAGAGGUGCUUGCACCUUUCAAGCGAGUGGCGAACGGGUGAGUAACACGUGGAUAACCUGCCUCAAGGCUGGGGAUAACAUUUGGAAACAGAUGCUAAUACCGAAUAAAACUUAGUAUCGCAUGAUAUCAAGUUAAAAGGCGCUACGGCGUCACCUAGAGAUGGAUCCGCGGUGCAUUAGUUAGUUGGUGGGGUAAAGGCUUACCAAGACAAUGAUGCAUAGCCGAGUUGAGAGACUGAUCGGCCACAUUGGGACUGAGACACGGCCCAAACUCCUACGGGAGGCUGCAGUAGGGAAUCUUCCACAAUGGGCGCAAGCCUGAUGGAGCAACGCCGCGUGUGUGAUGAAGGCUUUCGGGUCGUAAAGCACUGUUGUAUGGGAAGAAAUGCUAAAAUAGGGAAUGAUUUUAGUUUGACGGUACCAUACCAGAAAGGGACGGCUAAAUACGUGCCAGCAGCCGCGGUAAUACGUAUGUCCCGAGCGUUAUCCGGAUUUAUUGGGCGUAAAGCGAGCGCAGACGGUUGAUUAAGUCUGAUGUGAAAGCCCGGAGCUCAACUCCGGAAUGGCAUUGGAAACUGGUUAACUUGAGUGUUGUAGAGGUAAGUGGAACUCCAUGUGUAGCGGUGGAAUGCGUAGAUAUAUGGAAGAACACCAGUGGCGAAGGCGGCUUACUGGACAACAACUGACGUUGAGGCUCGAAAGUGUGGGUAGCAAACAGGAUUAGAUACCCUGGUAGUCCACACCGUAAACGAUGAAUACUAGGUGUUAGGAGGUUUCCGCCUCUUAGUGCCGAAGCUAACGCAUUAAGUAUUCCGCCUGGGGAGUACGACCGCAAGGUUGAAACUCAAAGGAAUUGACGGGGACCCGCACAAGCGGUGGAGCAUGUGGUUUAAUUCGAAGCAACGCGAAGAACCUUACCAGGUCUUGACAUCCUUUGAAGCUUUUAGAGAUAGAAGUGUUCUCUUCGGAGACAAAGUGACAGGUGGUGCAUGGUCGUCGUCAGCUCGUGUCGUGAGAUGUUGGGUUAAGUCCCGCAACGAGCGCAACCCUUAUUGUUAGUUGCCAGCAUUCAGUUGGGCACUCUAGCGAGACUGCCGGUGACAAACCGGAGGAAGGCGGGGACGACGUCAGAUCAUCAUGCCCCUUAUGACCUGGGCUACACACGUGCUACAAUGGCGUAUACAACGAGUUGCCAACCUGCGAAGGUGAGCUAAUCUCUUAAAGUACGUCUCAGUUCGGACUGCAGUCUGCAACUCGACUGCACGAAGUCGGAAUCGCUAGUAAUCGCGGAUCAGCACGCCGCGGUGAAUACGUUCCCGGGUCUUGUACACACCGCCCGUCACACCAUGGGAGUUUGUAAUGCCCAAAGCCGGUGGCCUAA
Molecule: ribosomal RNA, 1393 nt
Filed under: Leuconostoc citreum
Lineage: Bacteria; Bacillati; Bacillota; Bacilli; Lactobacillales; Lactobacillaceae
Description: bacterial SSU rRNA
Rfam family: Bacterial small subunit ribosomal RNA
Source: RNAcentral